RNAcentral lists this small RNA (88 nucleotides) under Mytilus galloprovincialis (Mediterranean mussel). Lineage: Eukaryota; Metazoa; Mollusca; Bivalvia; Mytilida; Mytilidae. The record is from RNAcentral.
CAUUACUUUAUAUGAUUUUGUCAUUACUCGAUUUGGUUUGGUUAAGACAAAGUCGCAUCAAGUAAAGAUAAAACAACAUAAUGUAAGA